This 433-nucleotide ribosomal RNA is filed under the name uncultured bacterium. RNAcentral's name for it is "partial 16S ribosomal RNA". It matches the Rfam family "Bacterial small subunit ribosomal RNA", at positions 29 to 507 of the family's 1533-position model. The record is from RNAcentral.
AACGAACGCUGGCGGCAUGCCUAACACAUGCAAGUCGAACGAGACCUUCGGGUCUAGUGGCGCACGGGUGCGUAACGCGUGGGAACCUGCCCUUAGGUUCGGAAUAACUCCCCGAAAGGGGUGCUAAUACCGGAUAAUGUCUUCGGACCAAAGAUUUAUCGCCUUUGGAUGGGCCCGCGUUGGAUUAGCUAGUUGGUAGGGUAAAAGCCUACCAAGGCGACGAUCCAUAGCUGGUCUGAGAGGACGAUCAGCCACACUGGGACUGAGACACGGCCCAGACUCCUACGGGAGGCAGCAGUGGGGAAUAUUGGACAAUGGGCGAAAGCCUGAUCCAGCAAUGCCGCGUGAGUGAUGAAGGCCUUAGGGUUGUAAAGCUCUUUUACCCGGGAUGAUAAUGACAGUACCGGGAGAAUAAGCACCGGCUAACUCCGUG